ACGUAGGGUGCAAGCGUUAUCCGGAAUUAUUGGGCGUAAAGCGUCCGCAGGCGGUUUUACAAGUCUGUCGUUAAAGCGUGGAGCUCAACUCCAUUUCGGCGAUGGAAACUGUAAGACUAGAGUGUGGUAGGGGCAGAGGGAAUUCCCGGUGUAGCGGUGAAAUGCGUAGAUAUCGGGAAGAACACCAGUGGCGAAGGCGCUCUGCUGGGCCACAACUGACGCUCAUGGACGAAAGCCAGGGGAGCGAAAGGG
This 252-nucleotide ribosomal RNA is filed under the name uncultured bacterium. RNAcentral describes it as "partial 16S ribosomal RNA". It matches the Rfam family "Bacterial small subunit ribosomal RNA", at positions 525 to 776 of the family's 1533-position model. The record is from RNAcentral.